Molecule: long non-coding RNA, 325 nt
Filed under: Homo sapiens (human)
Lineage: Eukaryota; Metazoa; Chordata; Mammalia; Primates; Hominidae
Description: HSALNT0401097
Source: RNAcentral
GCUGGUCAGGACAGUCCAGGCUCUGUUCCAAUCCCUCCCUAGAAAUGAGAUGUCCUUCCAGGCUUAGCCCAGAGGGUCUUGUAACCCCGAGGUAUAAAACUCAGUGUGGGCUGCUUUCUGAGGUCCCUCAGCUGCUAUGAAAGUGGAGCACAUGCAGUUGAGACUCCAUCCACCCAGGCAGCUUUCCUGAACCUUGGAGGACUGGGUGGCAAUGAAUCCUCGGUUUCUGUUGUCCCUUGCUGCCUGCCUAUCUGACAUGUAGACUGGUGCUCCAGCAGCCAUCUUGGACCAUGAAGUGACCUUGGGAAUGAAAGCUAAGGAUAAU